UACAGAGGUCUCAAGCGUUGUUCGGAUUCAUUGGGCGUAAAGGGCGCGUAGGCGGCGCGGUAAGUCGGGCGUGAAAUCUCGGGGCUUAACUCCGAAACUGCAUUCGAUACUGCCGUGCUUGAGGACUGGAGAGGAGACUGGAAUUUACGGUGUAGCGGUGAAAUGCGUAGAUAUCGUAAGGAAGACCAGUGGCGAAGGCGGGUCUCUGGACAGUUCCUGACGCUGAGGCACGAAGGCCAGGGGAGCAAACGGG
RNAcentral lists this ribosomal RNA (253 nucleotides) under uncultured bacterium. RNAcentral describes it as "partial 16S ribosomal RNA". It matches the Rfam family "Bacterial small subunit ribosomal RNA", at positions 524 to 776 of the family's 1533-position model. The record is from RNAcentral.